This 301-nucleotide ribosomal RNA is filed under the name uncultured bacterium. RNAcentral's name for it is "partial 16S ribosomal RNA". It matches the Rfam family "Bacterial small subunit ribosomal RNA", at positions 509 to 809 of the family's 1533-position model. The record is from RNAcentral.
CAGUCGCCGCGGUAAUACGGAGGGCGCGAGCGUUACCCGGAUUUACUGGGCGUAAAGGGCGUGUAGGCGGCCUGGGGCGUCCCAUGUGAAAGGCCACGGCUCAACCGUGGAGGAGCGUGGGAUACGCUCAGGCUAGAGGGUGGGAGAGGGUGGUGGAAUUCCCGGAGUAGCGGUGAAAUGCGCAGAUACCGGGAGGAACGCCGAUGGCGAAGGCAGCCACCUGGUCCACUUCUGACGCUGAGGCGCGAAAGCGUGGGGAGCAAACCGGAUUAGAUACCCGGGUAGUCCCUGUCUCUUAUAA